RNAcentral lists this ribosomal RNA (1451 nucleotides) under uncultured bacterium. Its description in RNAcentral is "bacterial SSU rRNA". It matches the Rfam family "Bacterial small subunit ribosomal RNA". The record is from RNAcentral.
GAUGAACGCUAGCUACAGGCUUAACACAUGCAAGUCGAGGGGCAGCAUGGUCUUAGCUUGCUGAGACUGAUGGCGACCGGCGAAUGGGUGAGUAACACGUAUCCAACCUGCCUGCAACCGGGGGAUAGCCCUCCGAAAGGAGAAUUAAAACCCCAUGUGUGGCUCUGAGGCAUCUCAGUGCCAUGAAAGGCUUUCGGUUGCGGAUGGGGAUGCGUAUGAUUAGCUGGUUGGCGGGGUAACGGCCCACCAAGGCGACGAUCAUUAGGGGUUCUGAGAGGAAGGUCCCCCACACUGGUACUGAGACACGGACCAGACUCCUACGGGAGGCAGCAGUGAGGAAUAUUGGUCAAUGGUCGGGAGACUGAACCAGCCAAGUAGCGUGAAGGAUGACGGCCCUACGGGUUGUAAACUUCUUUUCCGCGGGAUUAAAGUGCGCCACGUGUGGUGUUUUGCAGGUACCGCGGGAAUAAGCACCGGCUAAUUCCGUGCCAGCAGCCGCGGUAAUACGGAAGGUGCGAGCGUUAUCCGGAUUUAUUGGGUUUAAAGGGAGCGUAGGCGGGAUGCCAAGUCAGCUGUGAAAAGCCGCGGCUCAACCGUGGUCCUGCAGUUGAAACUGGCGUUCUUGAGUGCACUAGAGGGCGGUGGAAUUUGUGGUGUAGCGGUGAAAUGCUUAGAUAUCACGAGGAACUCCGAUUGCGAAGGCAGCCGCCUGGAAUGCAACUGACGCUGAGGCUCGAAGGUGCGGGUAUCAAACAGGAUUAGAUACCCUGGUAGUCCGCACUGUAAACGAUGGAUACUCGUGGUCGGCGACACACGGUCGGUCACCAAGCGAAAGCGUUAAGUAUCCCACCUGGGGAGUACGCCGGCAACGGUGAAACUCAAAGGAAUUGACGGGGGCCCGCACAAGCGGAGGAACAUGUGGUUUAAUUCGAUGAUACGCGAGGAACCUUACCCGGGCUUGAACUGCAGGAGAACGAUCCAGAGAUGGUGAGGUCCUUCGGGACUCCUGUGGAGGUGCUGCAUGGUUGUCGUCAGCUCGUGCCGUGAGGUGUCGGCUUAAGUGCCAUAACGAGCGCAACCCCUUUCCUUAGUUGCCAUCAGGUAGAGCUGGGCACUCUGGGGAUACUGCCACCGUAAGGUGUGAGGAAGGUGGGGAUGACGUCAAAUCAGCACGGCCCUUACGUCCGGGGCUACACACGUGUUACAAUGGGGAGUACAGAGAGUCAGGCGCCGGCAACGUCGCCUUAAUCAGGAAAGCUCUCCUCAGUUCGGAUUGGGGUCUGCAACCCGACCCCAUGAAGCUGGAUUCGCUAGUAAUCGCGCAUCAGCCAUGGCGCGGUGAAUACGUUCCCGGGCCUUGUACACACCGCCCGUCAAGCCAUGAAAGCCGGGGGCGCCUGAAGUCCGUGACCGCGAGGGUCGGCCUAGGGUGAAACCGGUGAUUGGGGCUA